This 168-nucleotide ribosomal RNA is filed under the name Mediterraneibacter gnavus. RNAcentral describes it as "partial 23S ribosomal RNA". It matches the Rfam family "Bacterial large subunit ribosomal RNA", at positions 2759 to 2925 of the family's 2925-position model. The record is from RNAcentral. Lineage: Bacteria; Bacillati; Bacillota; Clostridia; Lachnospirales; Lachnospiraceae.
ACGGGAUAAACGCUGAAGGCAUCUAAGCGUGAAGCCCCCCUCAAGAUGAGAUAUCCCAUAACGUCAAGUUAGUAAGACCCCUUGAAGACGACGAGGUAGAUAGGGCAGAGGUGGAAGUGCGGUAACGCAUGGAGCUGACUGUUACUAAUAGGUCGAGGGCAUAACCAA